GGUUAAGUUACAAAGGGCGCACGGUGGAUGCCUUGGCACUAGGAGCCGAUGAAGGACGGAACUAAUACCGAUAUGCUUCGGGGAGCUAUAAGUAAGCUUUGAUCCGGAGAUUUCCGAAUGGGGGAACCCAGUACACAUCAGUGUAUUGCCUGCAAGUGAAUACAUAGCUUGUUGGCGGCAGACGCGGGGAACUGAAACAUCUCAGUACCCGCAGGAAGAGAAAGAAAACUCGAUUCCCAUAGUAGCGGCGAGCGAAGUGGGAAGAGCCCAAACCGAGAAGCUUGCUUCUCGGGGUUGUAGGACUGGACAUUGGAGUUACCAAAGUUCGACGUAGUCGAAGUCAGCUGGAAAGCUGCGCCAUAGAAGGUGAAAGCCCUGUAAACGAAACGGCGGACUCUCCGUCCAGGAUCCUGAGUACGGCGGAACACGUGAAAUUCCGUCGGAAUCCGGGAGGACCAUCUCCCAAGGCUAAAUACUCCCUAGUGACCGAUAGUGAACCAGUACCGUGAGGGAAAGGUGAAAAGCACCCCGGAAGGGGAGUGAAACAGUUCCUGAAACCGUGUGCCUACAAUUAGUCAAAGCCCGUUAACGGGUAAUGGCGUGCCUUUUGUAGAAUGAACCGGCGAGUUACGUUUGCCUGCGAGGUUAAGAUGAAAAGUCGGAGCCGGAGCGAAAGCGAGUCUGAACAGGGCGCUUCAGUAGGUAGAUGUAGACCCGAAACCAAGUGACCUACCCAUGACCAGGUUGAAGGUGUGGUGAAACACACUGGAGGACCGAACCCAUGUAUGUUGAAAAAUGCUGGGAUGAGUUGUGGGUAGCGGUGAAAUUCCAAACGAACUUGGAGAUAGCUGGUUCUCUCCGAAAUAGCUUUAGGGUUAGCCUCGGAGGAUGGAUCAUGGAGGUAGAGCACUGUUUGAACUAGGGGCCCGUCAAGGGUUACUGAAUUCAGAUAAACUCCGAAUACCAUUGAUCUUACUCCGGGAGUCAGACAGUGAGCGAUAAGGUCCAUUGUCGAAAGGGGAACAGCCCAGAUCACCAGUUAAGGUCCCUAAAUUUAUGCUAAGUGGAAAAGGAUGUGGCGUUGCACAGACAACUAGGAUGUUGGCUCAGAAGCAGCCACCAUUUAAAGAGUGCGUAAUAGCUCACUAGUCGAGUGGCACUGCGCCGAAAAUAUACCGGGGCUAAGCAUAAUACCGAAACUGUGGGUGCACCCGUCAGGGUGCGCGGUAGGAGAGCGUUCUAAGGGCGUUGAAGGUCGAUCGUGAGGACGGCUG
Molecule: ribosomal RNA, 1274 nt
Filed under: Lacticaseibacillus rhamnosus
Lineage: Bacteria; Bacillati; Bacillota; Bacilli; Lactobacillales; Lactobacillaceae
Description: partial 23S ribosomal RNA
Rfam family: Bacterial large subunit ribosomal RNA
Source: RNAcentral